RNAcentral lists this ribosomal RNA (375 nucleotides) under uncultured bacterium. RNAcentral describes it as "bacterial SSU rRNA". It matches the Rfam family "Bacterial small subunit ribosomal RNA", at positions 1 to 355 of the family's 1533-position model. The record is from RNAcentral.
GCCGUGUCUCCGAUGCUCUAGAUUAUGAGUUGAUCCUGGCUCAGAGUGAACGCUGGCGGUAGGCCUAACACAUGCAAGUCGAACGGCAGCACAAAGGAGCUUGCUCCUUGGGUGGCGAGUGGCGGACGGGUGAGGAAUACAUCGGAAUCUACUCUGUCGUGGGGGAUAACGUAGGGAAACUUACGCUAAUACCGCAUACGACCUACGGGUGAAAGCAGGGGAUCUUCGGACCUUGCGCGAUUGAAUGAGCCGAUGUCGGAUUAGCUAGUUGGCGGGGUAAAGGCCCACCAAGGCGACGAUCCGUAGCUGGUCUGAGAGGAUGAUCAGCCACACUGGAACUGAGACACGGUCCAGACUCCUACGGGAGGCAGCAGU